AGGGAAUCUUCCACAAUGGACGAAAGUCUGAUGGAGCAACGCCGCGUGAGUGAUGAAGGGUUUCGGCUCGUAAAACUCUGUUGUUGGAGAAGAACGGGUGUCAGAGUAACUGUUGACAUCGUGACGGUAUCCAACCAGAAAGCCACGGCUAACUACGUGCCAGCAGCCGCGGUAAUACGUAGGUGGCAAGCGUUGUCCGGAUUUAUUGGGCGUAAAGCGAGCGCAGGCGGUUUUUUAGGUCUGAUGUGAAAGCCUUCGGCUUAACCGGAGAAGUGCAUCGGAAACCGGGAGACUUGAGUGCAGAAGAGGACAGUGGAACUCCAUGUGUAGCGGUGAAAUGCGUAGAUAUAUGGAAGAACACCAGUGGCGAAGGCGGCUGUCUGGUCUGCAACUGACGCUNAGGCUCGAAAGCAUGGGUAGCGAACAGGAUUAGAUACCCUUGGUA
Molecule: ribosomal RNA, 445 nt
Filed under: uncultured bacterium
Lineage: Bacteria
Description: partial 16S ribosomal RNA
Rfam family: Bacterial small subunit ribosomal RNA
Source: RNAcentral